This 292-nucleotide ribosomal RNA is filed under the name uncultured microorganism. RNAcentral describes it as "partial 16S ribosomal RNA". It matches the Rfam family "Bacterial small subunit ribosomal RNA", at positions 505 to 796 of the family's 1533-position model. The record is from RNAcentral.
GUGCCAGCAGCCGCGGUAAUACGUAGGUGGCAAGCGUUGUCCGGAUUUAUUGGGCGUAAAGCGAGCGCAGGCGGUUCUUUAAGUCUGAUGUGAAAGCCCCCGGCUCAACCGGGGAGGGUCAUUGGAAACUGGAGGACUUGAGUGCAGAAGAGGAGAGUGGAAUUCCAUGUGUAGCGGUGAAAUGCGUAGAUAUAUGGAGGAACACCAGUGGCGAAGGCGGCUCUCUGGUCUGUAACUGACGCUGAGGCUCGAAAGCGUGGGGAGCAAACAGGAUUAGAUACCCUGGUAGUCC